This 253-nucleotide ribosomal RNA is filed under the name uncultured bacterium. Its description in RNAcentral is "partial 16S ribosomal RNA". It matches the Rfam family "Bacterial small subunit ribosomal RNA", at positions 524 to 776 of the family's 1533-position model. The record is from RNAcentral.
UACGAAGGGGGCUAGCGUUGCUCGGAAUGACUGGGCGUAAAGGGCGCGUAGGCGGCUUGCACCGUCAGAUGUGAAAUUCCUGGGCUUAACCUGGGGGCUGCAUUUGAUACGUGUGGGCUUGAGUGCGGAAGAGGGUCGUGGAAUUCCCGGUGUAGCAGUGAAAUGCGUAGAGAUCGGGAGGAACAUCUGUGGCGAAGGCGACUGCCUGGACCAGCACUGACACUGAGGCACGAAAGCGUGGGGAGCAAACAGG